UCGAGAAUUUUUCGCAAUGGGGGAAACCCUGACGGAGCGACGCCGCGUGGAGGAUGAAGGUCUUCGGAUUGUAAACUCCUGUCAUUGGUGAACAAGGUGCUUCCAUUAACUGUGGAGGUAAUUGCUAGUAGCCGAAGAGGAAGGGACGGCUAACUCUGUGCCAGCAGCCGCGGUAAUACAGAGGUCCCGAGCGUUGUUCGGAUUCAUUGGGCGUAAAGGGUGCGUAGGCGGCUGGGUAAGUUUGAUGUGAAAUCCUGGGGCUCAACCCUGGAACUGCAUUGAAUACUGCUCGGCUUGAGUACUGGAGAGGAAACUGGAAUUUACGGUGUAGCAGUGAAAUGCGUAGAGAUCGUAAGGAAGACCAGUGGCGAAGGCGAGUUUCUGGACAGUUACUGACGCUGAGGCACGAAGGCUAGGGGAGCAAACGG
Molecule: ribosomal RNA, 428 nt
Filed under: uncultured bacterium
Lineage: Bacteria
Description: bacterial SSU rRNA
Rfam family: Bacterial small subunit ribosomal RNA
Source: RNAcentral